This 3438-nucleotide small RNA is filed under the name Rattus norvegicus (Norway rat). Its description in RNAcentral is "uncharacterized LOC102555497". The record is from RNAcentral. Lineage: Eukaryota; Metazoa; Chordata; Mammalia; Rodentia; Muridae.
GAGGGAGGGUAUGAAACAUGUAAAACAUAUCUGAGAAAGUGCCCAUCCCGUCAUCCUUGGUUGCCUGAAUACCUUGACUCCCACUGGGAGGAGAACGGACACAUCACAGAGUCCUAGUUAUUGAGGAGGCAGGAAGACACGAUCAGUCACGACCAUACCAUGAAGCAAAGAGAAUCCAGACACAGCAGUGUGAGCUGUGGGAUUCUGUUGGCUAAAAUGUCCCGAUUCUUGGUGACGGGACAUAACAGAGGCCAAGGUGAAGAUCUGCCUUGGAGGCAGAGAGGAAGGGGAAGGCGCGUAAGGUGCAGCCCUUGAAGACUGGGUGUGUUUGGUUUCUGACUGGAGUCUGGUCACACACUUUGGAGUGGGUCGUUCUAACAGACCAACUUAUCCAUUUUGUGGGUGGAUAAAGAAGGGAGUCCCGUGUCACAGGAUAUUGGAACCCCAAGAUCGUGUGCCCAUCCCAAGCACACACUUUUAGUCAAAGAGCUUUGCGUUUAUCAUAAGCAGUCUUAAAUAAAAUCAACCACAGAUCAAGAAGUGGAGCAAAGCAACCAGCUGACGGGGUGGACAUUGAAGUAAAUGGACAGAGUGGGAGGAAGUCAGGAGGAGGGAUAGUGAGGCACACAGGAAGGAGAAGGGAGGGAUGCUCAGUUGGAAGGUUUAUUGGGCUAGUGUGGAGAAGGAGAGCUUUUUCCUUUUGGGAUGCUGGCUGAGCAGCAAGGUCAGCUGGGUGCUUUCUCUGCCCCUCUGAGGCUUUCACCCCAGCAUCUGGCUCCUGACUCUUCACUGGUAAAUGGAACGUUUAAGACUCUGUUAAGAACAACAGUGGGGGUCCACCUACUGAUUGGCUUUCACAGUCGCUCGCUCCUUCCUCCACAGGGGAGUUCAUCUUCUCUUGACUUUCUUUGGUGAACUCCUAUAGAUUGAUCUCAUCUAGACCAGGCUUCUUCUUCUUAAGGAAGCCCUUUUCCUAUUGUAUCAGUCAGCGGUGGCCGCAAAACAAACACGACCAUGAAGAGAGUGAGAACAGUGAUUGUUAGCUCACAUUUCUUUAUUUGGGACGUACGUGAUACCCAUGAGCUGGGGUGUCAGACAGGAGGGCUCCAUCCAGACAGAGUACCCAGGGAGGAAGCCAGCAGCAGGAUAUGACAUAGGCCCGCUGUCUAGGCCCCUCAGUGGCAGAGUGGAGACCAGACCGAGUAUGGAACUCAGGCGGUGACCACUAGCCUGUACAGAUUCGGACCCCAGCCCCGGCACCUCCUUCCUGUGCAGCUUUGGGUGGGCGUGGACUUCUGUCCUGGUGAAAGGGAGUCACAGUGAGUUUUAGAGGCAAUGAUCACACAUAAUGUGCAGAGCUGCUCCCUAUACAUAGUAGGUACACAGCAAGGACCCUGUAGUCUGCUUGCUCUGGCAGACUAAUGUCACUCAGAGAUCCCUGGUGGCAGGGGAUCCUGACUCAUUCAGUGACCUUGGUAUCCUCAGUUCUGCAGUGACUAUGGCCUGGAGCAGCUGUGACUGGGUGGCCCCUCUCCAGGUGCAGGUGCUGGACCUGCAGGAUCCUCCAGUGUGUCUCAGAGCCAGCCCCAUGUUUAAGGUAUUGCUGAACCCACUGACAGAAAGUCCUAUGACAGUGUCUCCUUUGUUAAUCAGCCAAACCUUCCCGGUGCCAGGUUAGCAGGGCCAUAUUUGCCUCACUUUAGGGCUUGCCCUAGGAUGCAGGUCAAAGGUAACCAGGCCCCUCCACCACCAGCAGUGUGGACCGCAACGUGGCGUGGCGUUAAUGUUGGAGUAAGUUGGCACUAGUCGCUGCGGGCUGUGUGGGAGCCCUGCCUCCUCUCCCUCUCCUUCUAACUUGGGAACUGACUCUCUUUCUAACCAGUUCCUCUACCCUUGGGGUCAUUCACUGGCCUUAGCAGGAAGCUGGAAGAGAGGAUGGGAGGGAGGAGGGGCUUGGGGAGAUCCAUCCACAGCAGAGAUAGCAGGACUCUGGUACUUCACCGGGAUCCUAAGCUGCCUGCCUGGUUUCUUGUGCCCUGUUUUAAGAACAGGUUUCUUUUUGAUACCAACCUUUCUGGAAAGAACUGCCCACGCGAACAUCACCUGCCCUGCGACCCGAUCAUUGCAGAACUCCUUCAGCAAAGCAGGAGGCUGGCUCCUGACAGACCUCUGGUCCUGAGGUCAGGCUCCCCUCUCCAGCAUCCCCAUCCACGAGAGGCACCGUGGGUGGCAUGUCCCUAGUAGCAGGGCCCUUUCGCCAUCACAAAGAGAACCCACUUCUCCCAAAUGAAUGGAACCCCAACUUCAGGAACACAUGGUCUCACUGCAGUGUGCGGACAGGUGGGGGAUUCUCGGCUCUACUUGAUCCUGACAGGAUAUGGGACAACUGUGGCCACUAAGCAUCUAGACCUCAUGGCUCAUGGAUUUCAUAGCAGAAUCCAUGCCCCAAUCCUGUGCAUUCUCAGGGGGCUGCUGGGUGCUCAGUGGUGAUAUAAGGGGACACACACACACGCUCAGGACAAUGAGGCAGCAAAUAGGGGUGUAGCGUCUGGGUCACAGUGACACUGGGAGGGAGGGAGAGGCGCCUGUGGUAGGAAGGAAGUUAGAGAUGUGCGUAGAAGGAACCAAGGGCUGAGAAUCAGGAAGGUGGAAGAGUAUCUAGCUGUGGGCAGAAGAGUCCAUUGUGGUGUCAGACUAGCUUUAAAGGAAUGGGGAGGGUGCACAGGACACCCAGACUUCCCCACAUGUCCCUGUCAGAGAAUGUCUCCAUCUUCUCAGGGUUUCUUGCAGUCUCCCUCAUUUACUUCCUUCCCUGGCCACUUCUUUCACCAGGACUCGCUGGUACUCACCGUCAGCCGUCAGCCGCUGUGCAGGGCACAGGUGGUCCCAUGCCAGUCCCUGCCUCUGCCACCAGGGACAUAAAGGGCAGUUUGAUGUGGAAGGACUCAGUAAUAGCAGUGUCGUGCCACAGUGAGAAAGUGUGUCUCUGCUAGAGGUGCUCCCGCCCCCAGAACCAUUCUCUUCCAAGCAAAGCAAAGUUACAUUGUUAUACCUGUCAGAUGGCUUGAGGGAAGGCCGUGUGCCAGCAUCUAGUGCCCCGGAACACCUCAAAUGGAUCCUGGAAGGACUUCAUGGUGACCGGGCUUGGUGGGGUGCAGCUGCUCAUUUUGACAGGCUGGAAGAGAGGACCAGGAGAGCAAGCAAAAGGAGGCAGUGGAGACAAGCAAUACCCUUCCAAAGCAUGUCCCCCAUAGUGGCCUCUUCCCUUAAACUCUCCCUCUGCCUCCCAACUUCCCAUUGCCUCCCAACACCACUGCCAGUUAUAACUCUAUCGAGGGACUUUCCAUUGAUGAAGACAGCACCUGUUUGCUGGUUCAUCUAAUCUGUGUCUGGAUUCAUCUAUACUGUCAUUGCUAUAGGCAGUGUGUGUGUGUGUGU